This 20935-nucleotide long non-coding RNA is filed under the name Vitis vinifera (wine grape). Its description in RNAcentral is "long non-coding RNA (VVIN_LNC004863)". The record is from RNAcentral. Lineage: Eukaryota; Viridiplantae; Streptophyta; Magnoliopsida; Vitales; Vitaceae.
UCUCCCAAGUGCACAAUUGUAGCUUUUGUCUCUUCACCUGACUGCACUCAAAACCCUCUUCCUGGACAAGGAGAUUUAGUUCCCUCUCCUCUCUUUGACUUCCUCUGCACCGAAGAAUACCCUUCCGUCUCCAUUAACGGAGCCGCAUUAACCCUCUUUACCUCUCUCUACGAUCAUCUCUCUGGACUAAUAGAUGAGGUCAAAAUCUGAUACUUGUUUUAAUUUACGUUAACUUUUCGUUAACAAUUGUGAGACACGAAACAGCUUGACCAUGAGAUCUCCCUCAUGGAGUCAAAACCCGUGUUGGUAUCUGUUUUUAGAUCAACUUAUAUAUAUAUAUAUAUAUAUAUAUAUAUAUCUUGUGGAUAAAAGGAAAGUUUACAAGUGAGAAUAGUGGCAUUUUUCUGACAGAUUUCACACCGUUGCUUGUUUUGCAGUUGACUGUGAUUGAAGGUCGAUUAAUCAUCACUGGGCACUCGAUGGGAGGAUCCGUUGCUUCUCUCUUCACCUUAUGCCUGCUAGAAGUCAUUAAUAUAUCAAAACCCAAAUGCCGCCCCAUUUGCAUCACCUUUGGUUCACCCCUCAUAGGCGACUUUGGCCUCCAACACUCCAAUUGGAAUUCUUUCUUCUUGCAUGUAGUGUCCAACCAAGAUCUAGUCCCCGGACUCUUCCUCCCAUCCGGCAGAUCUCCUCCCACAUCCUCCCAUUCACAAACUACUGGUUACAAGCCCUUUGGGACAUAUCUCUUGUGCUCUGAACUUGGUUGUGCUUGUUUUGACAACCCUGAUUUAAUUUUGGAAUUGCUGAAAGUCAUAUCAUCAGAGGUUGCCGGAGGAUUGCGGGAUGUUGAUUACAGGAAGAUUUUAAUAAACCUCAAGGAGAGGGCAAUCUUCAAGGGACUUCAGCAGGUGGGUGAAAGGUUUGCAGAUCCCUUGUCAGCUGGGAUCGUCAUGGACCUUGAGAUAAUUGGAUUUGAUCAAACAAAGGUAAACAGCUUUCUCCCAAUUAAUGAUGUAGUAUGGUUUACACUCAACUUCACCAAAACCUGCAACAACUGCCCUAUUUAGAUUUGCCUUCCUGUUCUUUGGGUUCUUCUAUAACUUCUCAUUUUUUAAAUUCAUGGCAGCUGUUGCGGCACAACAUUGAUAUCAACACUGUGAUAAGGAUACUGGGAGUGGAAGCCAGAAUCCUAGCCCACAAAAAUAAAGCUUCUGAUGCCAAGAAACUGAAUGACAUAAAAAUACACAUGGCCCAGCUAGAAUGGUAUAAGAAGAAAUCAAAAGAUCUGAACAAGGGUUACUACGACUGCUUCAAAAACCAGGGGUCAAAAAGGGACAUUAAAAUUGAACAGUAUAGGGGACACCUCACAAUAUACUGGAAAGACAUGGUUGCACAAGUACAGAGGAAGCCCCAGAAGGAAGGAGCAUCAUUUCGAACCAGUUGGCUCUAUCCAGGGACAACUUAUAGAAGAAUGGUUGAACCACUGGACAUUGCUGCCUUCUACAGAGAGGGUAGAACAGACUACAUAAACAAUGGAAGAUCUCCUCAUUACAAGCUGUUGCAGCAAUGGUAUGAGGAAGAUGUGAAGCCCCCAUCCAGAGAUAAGCUCGAUUCCAAGAAACUAAAGGUGUCUGGUAUCCUAACUGAGGAUUCUUUGUUUUGGGCACAUGUGGAGGAGGCUCUCUUGUCAUGCGAAUCGCUCAAGAGUGCAAACUCUACUCUUGAGCAGAGAAAAUCAUCAUGGGAUAAUCUGGUUAAGUUUGGGGAGUAUGUAAUGGAACAGAUUGGAAACUAUGCAGUGUCCCCUGAGAUUUUCUUGGGGGAAAGCAGCUUCAUGAAAUGGUGGGGAGUGUAUGAGGACUACAUAGAUGCUUCCAAUAAUUCCUAUGGGUCACCAUUGAUCAGCUUUAUGAAGAACCGUAGUUAUAGACUGUAUGGUUAGAGGGCAAUCCAGUUUGUGUAUUGUGUUUAUUGUAUUGUGAGCAUUCAAUAGAUAAAACUAGAAAGAGCGUGACCUUUUUAUGACAACUUUAGAAACCAGGGGUUAAAAGAGACAUUACAAACUGAAGUUUUUGAGAGGAAACCUCAAGAGUAUACUGGGAAGCCAUGGUGGAACAAGUAGAGAGGAAGCCUCAGAAGGAAGGAGCAAUGGUUGAACCACUUGACAUUGUUGCCUACUACAGGGAGGGUGUAAGAAACAACAUAACCGAGGGAAGAUCUGAACGUUAAACGUUGUCCAAUUAUUAUAAAUGUCUUAUACAUUACGUGUGAAAAUACCAAAAAAAAUUAUAUUCAACAUUUAUGUUUGUAUACAAGCAAUAUUUUGGAUAGUUUGAUAUAAAAAACAAAUGAAGAAAAUGAAGAAAAACAUACAAAUAUAUUUACAAUGGACAAACUUAUACAAUUAGUAUAAAUGUCUUGUAUAUUUAGUACAAAUGUCUCGUACUUUGUAAAAAUAUAAAAAUAUAGUAUUUGACUUUUAUAUAUGUGUGAAAAUGUAAAAAGAAAAAGAAAAAUAGUUAGAGCAUUUGGUACCGUGAGUGAUGACUUCACCUAAAGAAAGGUUAAUGAAUAUUAUGGUCUCGAUGGAAGAGCGACUCCGGUAAAAUAUAUGGAUUAAAUUGAUGCUUUUCUUUUGACGAUGAAGUAGUUGAGUUAUGAAUACGAGGUUUUGCUAACAGCAUUGAAGGCAAGGAUUCCCUAAUAUACUCCAAUUCAUAUUCAAUUUGUAGACCUUCAACUAACUACUCUUGCUAACGAGCAUAUCCAAGUCAAUACAUAAGAUUAAUUAAGAUUAAGUAUUACGUAUGAUAAUUGAAACCCUAUUUAAAUAAAUAAUGACACAUAUAUAAAAAAUAUAUAUAUUUUUAAAAAAAUAAAUAACAAUUUAGAGAAUUUCAUAACUUAGCAUCAAACCUAUUGUAAGAAAGAGUAUUAUACAAUGUAGGGUUUAGGAUCCAAGUCAACCUAAGAUCAAAUUUAAGUUUUAAGAUCAAUUCACAUUCAAAACUAAGGUUUUAAGUUUCAAAAAUAUAUUUCUUAAACCAAUUAAAUGGAAAAAAGAAAAUUACAAAGAAAAUUUCUCCCUCAUCAGUUUCUUUUAUCUUGAAAACUAAAGGAAAUAUAUAUCAAUAUUUGAGAUGGAAAUUCAUAAUCUUAGGUGGUGUUUGUUUUUUUGGCUUUUUGCUGAAAACUAUUUAGUUUUAGAAUUUAGGUUUUUUUUUUUUUUUACUUUUUCAUGACUUAUAAUAAACUUUUUACUAAAUAGAAAAAACCAAAAUAUGUGGUUUUUUCUAAAUAGAAAAAAUAACACAAUGGUUUUUUUUACUUUUUAAUACUUAAUAGAAAUAAAAUACUACAAAAACAAACAUCUUAAUAUUUAAUACUAUUAAGUAUUAAGGUUCUAUUUAGAAUUAAGUAAAAAAACAAACACCACCUUAGAAACACAAAGAACAAAGAGAGUAUGAAGAGACCAUACCAUGAGAGAUUUUCCGAAAGGUUGGUAAACCAUGGUAAUCACCUUUGAGUCUUGCUGAGAAAAACAAACCUUAUUUAUUUUUAUUUUUUUAUCAUUUUUUCUCUUGUGUGGUGUACAUUUAAGAAAAACAAAUCUCAAAAAAAAAAAAAAACACAAACCAAAUAAUGCCAGAAUUUGGGUUGAGAAACACCCAAAAGAUAGUGGCCCAAUACAUGUGCCUAAGAAAAUCUUCAUGAGCCGAUAAACAUAGUCACAAAACUAGUAACAGCCUUGUAGCCAUAGUUGGUGUAGUAUGAGCAAGUGGGGUAUGAAGUAGGUAGGUGAGUAUUGCAAUGAAAUUUCCAGCACUGCUUCCUGAAUUAAGAAAUCACAUACCCAAGUCUUAGUCGUCGUCGUCGUCGUACCGUGUGAGAACCGGGAAGAAUCUUUGCUCGUAGACUGGCUUUUGUAGUCUUUCUUUAACAAUUACAAGUUAUCUGAAUUCCCUUCAUCCUCCUAUAUAAUAUUGUUUUGGUCUUGUUCUUGUUGCAUUGUGGCUAGGCAUCUCCAUGGAAGGAAGGAGGAUGAAUCAAGUUCCUUUGUAUGAAUCAAUUUCUCUGCUCUUUUUUUUUUUCAAUCCUUGAAUCGAAUCAUUGCUUAGUUCUUGCUUUAAUUUCUCCAUUUUCUGUUGGGUCUUUGAUUGCAGGUUUAGCUCUGCAAGAGAACUGGGAAAUUUAAUUGUGACCUCCAAUCUAAUCGACUCUGCUUUGACUAAAAUUCUUGAGCUUCAAAGAGACCAAACAGCCUUGCUUUCCCCCGUUCAAUACAGAGUUUUUUUAUCCAUCUCCCAACUGCACAAUUGUAGCUUUUGUCUCUUCACCUGACUGCACUCAAAACCCUCUUCCUGGACAAGGAGAUUUAGUUCCCUCUCCUCUCUUUGACUUCCUCUGCACCGAAGAAUACAAGUCCGUCUCCAUUAACAGAGCUGCAUUAACCCUCUUUACCUCUCUCCACGAUCAUCUCUCUGGACUAAAAACUCAGGUCAAAAUAUGAUAGUUGUUUUUAUUUUCGUUUCCUUUUUGUUAACAAUUGUGAGACAUGAAACAGCUUGACCAUGAGAUCUCUCUCAUAGAGUCAAACUACCUGAAGAAGAAGAAGACGUUACACAUAUCCAUCUGCGUUGCAUCAUCGCAUUACCCAUUGAUCGGUUGUGAUUCAACUCUUAAUAGGAAGACAGUAGAACUGGUGUUGGUAUCUGUUUUUAGAUCAGCUUAUAUGUAUCUUGUUGCUAAAAAGGGAAUGUUUAGAAGUGAGAUUAAUGGGAUUAUUCUGACAUGGAUUUCAUAUGGUUACCUGUUUUGCAGUUGACUGUGAUUGAAGGUCAAUUAAUCAUCACUGGGCACUCCCUGGGAGGAGCCGUUGCUUCUCUCUUCACCUUAUGCCUGCUAGAUGAAAAUUUAUUAAAACCCAAAUGCCGCCCCUUUUGUAUCACCUUUGGUUCACCCCUCGUCGGCGGCUUUGGCCUCCAACACUCCAUAUGGAAUUCUUUCUUCCUGCAUGUAGUGUCUAACCAAGACCCAGUCCCCGGUCUCUUCCUCCCAUCUGGCAGAGGCAGAUCUACGCCCACAUCCUCCCAUUCACAAACUACCGGUUACAAGCCCUUUGGGACAUAUCUCUUGUGCUCUGAACUUGGUUGUGCUUGUUUUGACAACCCUGAUUUAAUUUUGGAAUUGCUGAAAGUCAUAUCAUCAGAGGUUGCCGGAGGAUUGCAGGAUGUUGAUUAUGGGGAGAUUUUAAGAAACCUCAAGGAGAGGGCAAUCUGCAAGGGACUUCCGCAGGUGGGUGAAAGGUUUGCAAAUCCAUUUUCAGCUGGGAUCAUCAUGGAACUUGAGACAAUUGGAUUUAAUCAAACAAAGGUAAACAGCUUUCUCCCAUCUAAUGAUGUUAUGGAACAUGGUUUACACCUCAUUAAAUACUGCAACAACUGCCCUAUUUAGAUUUACCUUCUUGUUCUUUGGGAUUUUCCAUAACUAGACUCAUUUUUUAAUUUCAUGGCAGCUGCUGCAGCAUAACAUUGAUAUCGAGACUGUGAUAAGCGCAAUGGAAGCGGAAGCAAGAAACCUAACCCAGAAAAAUAAAGCUUCCGAUGCCAAGAAACUGAAUGAAAUAAAAAUAGACAUGACCCGGCUAGAAUUGUAUAAGAAGAAUUCGAACAUGGGUUACUACGAUUGCUUCAAAAACCAGGGGUCUAAAAGGGACAUCCACGUUGAACAGUUUAGGGUAAACCUCACAGGGUACUGGGAAGGCAUGGUUGCACAAAUACAGAGGAAGCCUCAUAAGGAAGGAGCAACAUUUCGAACCCGUUGGCUCUAUGCAGGGACGGUUUAUAGAAGAAUGGUUGAACCACUGGACAUUGCUGCCUUCUACAGAGAGGGUAGAAAAGACUACAUGAAUAAAAGAUCUGCACAUUACAAGCUGUUGCAGGAAUGGUAUGAGGAAGAUGUGAAACCCCCCUCUAGAGAUAAGCUUGAUUCCAAGAAGCAAAAGGUGUCCAGUAUCCUAACUGAGGAUUCUUGCUUUUGGGCACAUGUGGAGGAGGCUAUCUUGUCAUGCGAAUUGCUCAAGAGUGAAAACUGUAAUCUUGAGGAGGGAAAAUCAUCAUGGGAUAAUCUGGUUAAGUUCGAGGAGUAUGUAAUGGAACAGAUUGACAACUAUGCAGUGUCCCCUGAGAUUUUCUUGGAGAAAAGCAGCUUCAUGAAAUGGAGGGGACUGUAUGAGGGCUACAUAGAUACUCGCAGUAAUUCCCAUAGCUCGCCAUUGAUCAGCUUUAUGAAGAAUCGUAGUUAUAGACAAUAUGGAUAGAGGGGUAAUCCAGUUUGUGUGUUGUGUGUAUUGUUUUGUGAGCAUUCAAUGGAUAGAACUAGAAAGAGUGUGACCUUUUCCUUUUUUUUUUCAGUUGCUGCCCAUAUUCUCAGCACUAUUUUCUUCCUUCUUUUCCUCAGUUUUUUUGUUAAGAAAUGAAUAUUAUGAUGUUGCCGGGAUGCACUUUCAUUUUUGUUCCAUUACAUUGUGUUUUAUUCAUAUCCUAAACAAAUAAAUGUAAACAAGAAAAUCAAAUGAGACUUCAAAGAGUCUGUUCCUUUUAAAGCAAGGGAAAAAAAGGACAUGUUUGUUUACUUCCACAGCUGGGUAGAUUCAACUCCACCAAAAUUGGCAACAACUUCCCAUUGAAAAAUUCCUUUUAAGCUUGAAUGACAUAAAACUAGAUAUGUUCCAGCUAGAAUGGUACAAGAAAGAAAUCAAAAGAUGAGCACAAUGGGUUAUUAUGACAGCUUUAGAAACCUGGGGUGUAAAAGAGACAUUAAAAUGGAACCGAGGGGAAGACAUUGUAGAACAAGUAAAGAGGAAGCCUCACCAGGAAGGGCAGCUUUGCAAACCCUCUGGCUCUGUACAGGAACGAAUUAUAGAAAGAUGGUUGAACCACUUGACAUUGCUGCCUACCACAGAGAGGGUGGAAGAAACUACAUAACCAAUGGAGGAUGUAAACAUUACACGCUAUUAGAGCAAUGAUGCAAUGAAGAGAAGGGGACUUUGUCUUCCAAUAAUUUAAGAAAAUAAAACCAAAUAAUGCCAGAAUUUGGGUUGAGAAACACCCAAAAGAUAGUGGCCCAAUAUGAAGUAGUCACAAAACUAGUAACAGCCUUGUGGCCAUAGUUGGUGUAGUAUGAGCAAGUGGGGUAUGAAGUAGGUAGGUGAGUAUUGCAAUGAAAUUUCCAGCACUGCUUCCUGAAUUAAGAAAUCACAUACUCAAGUCUUAAUCGUUGUCAUCAUACCGUGUGAGAACCGAGGAAGAAUCUUUGCUCUUAGACUGGAUUUUGUAGUCUUUCUUUAACAAUUACAAGUUAUCUGAAUUCCCUUCAUCCUCCUAUAUAAUAUUGUUUUUGGUCUUGUUCUUGUUGCAUUGUGGCUAGGCAUCUCCAUGGGAGGAAGGAGGAUGAAUCAAGUUCCUUUGUAUGAAUCAAUUUCUCUGCUCUUUUUUUUUUCAAUCCUUGAAUCGAAUCAUUGCUUAGUUCUUGCUUUAAUUUCUCCAUUUUCUGUUGGGUCUUUGAUUGCAGGUUUAGCUCUGCAAGAAAACUGGGAAAUUUAAUUGUGACCUCCAAUCUAAUCGACUCUGCUUUGACUAAAAUUCUUGAGCUUCAAAGAGACCAAACAGCCUUGCCUUCCCCCGUUCAAUACAGAGUUUUUUAUCCAUCUCCCAACUGCACAAUUGUAGCUUUUGUCUCUUCACCUGACUGCACUCAAAACCCUCUUCCUGGACAAGGAGAUUUAGUUCCCUCUCCUCUCUUUGACUUCCUCUGCACCGAAGAAUACAAGUCCGUCUCCAUUAACAGAGCUGCAUUAACCCUCUUUACCUCUCUCCACGAUCAUCUCUCUGGACUAAAAACUCAGGUCAAAAUAUGAUAGUUGUUUUUAUUUUCGUUUCCUUUUUGUUAACAAUUGGGAGACAUGAAACAGCUUGACCAUGAGAUCUCUCUCAUAGAGUCAAACUACCUGAAGAAGAAGAAGACGUUACACAUAUCCAUCUGCGCUGCAUCAUCGCAUUACCCAUUGAUCGGUUGUGAUUCAACUCUUAAUAGGAAGACAGUAGAACUGGUGUUGGUAUCUGUUUUUAGAUCAGCUUAUAUGUAUCUUGUUGCUAAAAAGGGAAUGUUUAGAAGUGAGAUUAAUGGGAUUAUUCUGACAUGGAUUUCAUAUGGUUACCUGUUUUGCAGUUGACUGUGAUUGAAGGUCGAUUAAUCAUUACUGGGUACUCGAUGGGAGGAUCCGUUGCUUCUCUCUUCACCUUAUGCCUGUUAGAAGUCAUCAAUUUAUCAAAACCCAAAUGCCGCCCCAUUUGUAUCACCUUUGGUUCACCCCUCAUAGGCGACUUUGGCCUCCAACACUCCAAUUGGAAUUCUUUCUUCUUGCAUGUAGUGUCCAACCAAGAUCUAGUCCCCGGACUCUUCCUCCCAUCCGACAGAUCUCCUCCCACAUCCUCCCAUUCACAAACUACUGGUUACAAGCCCUUUGGGACAUAUCUCUUGUGCUCUGAACUUGGUUGUGCUUGUUUUGACAACUCUGAUUUAAUUUUGGAAUUGCUGAAAGUCAUAUCAUCAGAGGUUGCCAGAGGAUUGCGGGAUGUUGAUUACAGGAAGAUUUUAAGAAACCUCAAGGAGAGGGCAAUCUGCAAGGGACUUCCGCAGGUGGGUGAAAGGUUUGCAAAUCCAUUUUCAGCUGGGAUCAUCAUGGAACUUGAGACGAUUGGAUUUAAUGAAACAAAGGUAAACAGCUUUCUCCCAUCUACUGAUGUUAUGGAACAUGGUUUACACAUCAUUAAAUACUGCAACAACUGCCCUAUUUAGAUUUAGGGCAAUGAUGAAAAUAUCAGUAAUCACGGAUAUAUCAGUAUUUCGAUUUUACGGAUAUAUCGGAUAUAUCGGAGAUAUAUCGGUAGAUAUUUUGAAAAAAAAUAUCGGCAAGCUUAAAAUUGUUAAAAACUCAUGAAAAUAUAAGAAAAUCUCAUAAUAAUAUAAUUAAAAGUAUAAUAGACAUUUUAAAGUUAUUUUAUUGAAAAUUUUGAUAUAUGUAUAACAUGAUUUAUCAUAUUUGAUAAUAAUAUCGUAUGCGUCGAUAAAAAUAUGAAUUUUAUAAGUGUACAUUUAUUAUUAAAUUACACCUAAUAUUAUGAUAUCUGAUUAUAAUAUGUCUAAUUUUAAAAUAUAUAUUAGUAUUAAAAUAUGAUCCAUUUAAUUCAAUUGUAUUAAACAAUAUAAAAUAAAUAAUGAUAUAUAUAUAUAUAUAUAUAAUUUUUUAAUAUUUAAUUAAUUAUUAAUGAUAUUAAAAACAUUAUGAAGAAAAUUAUAUAAUUUUUUAAUUUUUGGUAAUUAAUUAAAAGACUUUGCAUUUAAUUAUAAAUUAAUUAUAAUUAAUUUACUCUUUAAAAUAUUCUUAUAUUUUCUUUAUAUAAUGAAUUUAAGUAUAUAUAUAGUUGUUGCAUAUUAUAUAUUAAAGGACAACUUAGCCCAAGUGGUAAGCGAGUGAACCCCAAUGUGAGGCAUUGUAGCACGUGCACUGUAGCAUCACUGUAGCGACUCUGACUUUCGUUGACCCGCAUUGACUACACGAUAUAUCGGAGAAAAAUCACUGAUUUAUCGCCAAAUCACCAAUAAAUCGCCGAUUUCUCGCGAUAAAUACCAAAAUAUAGUGUCGAAACCCUUCGAUACACGAUUUUUCGGCGCAUUUUCUUACUUGGAUUUACCUUUUUGUUCUUUGGGAUCUUCCAUGACUCAUUUUUUAAUGCCAUUUUAUUUUCCUUUUUGUUUCUAAAUUUUUAAAAAAUCGUUUUCACUUCUUUUUUUUAAGAAAAUUUUGGCAAAUUUUGAAAAUAUAAUAUUAGUGUUUUCACUUCUUUCUUUUUUUUUUUUUUCUUUUUUUUUUUAAACUCAAUUUUCUAAAAAAUGAAAAUAGAAAAACAUUGUCUAAACAUGUUUGUAAACUUAAUUUUAUUUUUUUAUAAAUGAAAAAAAAAAUCUAAAUGAGUAAGGCUUUAUUAAUUUUAAUUUUUUUCUUUUCCUUAUAUUUUCUUAUUUUAUUCCAAAUUUUCUUGCAACCAAACAUAAUCUAAAUGUUUACAACUUUUAUUGUAAGGAAUGAAUGACACUACUUUGUGAACUUUUAUGAUAAUAUUUUGAAUCAUAAAUUGUGUUUUUUUUAGUAAUAUCAAUUUUAUUACCAAUGACUUAAUUGUUAAUAACAAAAUAUAAUAUUUAUAAAUAUUUUUAUUCUCAACAGGCUACAAUUUUUACUCUUGUGAUAAAAAAAAUUUUGUCAUAAAUUACACAUUAUGAUGAGUUUUUCUAUUUUCCUUAUCAGCCAAUUCAACAAAUAUCAUAUAUAUUGUAAUGGCUAACAAAUUUUCACAUAAAUUUUUUAUAAGAUAAAGUAGAAUGGAAUUAUUCAAUUUCAAAAAAAAAAAAAAUGGUACCUAAUGAAAAAGAUAAAAUAUAUAGAUCAUCUCGAAGAAAUCAGGAAAGAUAAAUGAUGAGACCAUAUAUAGGACCCUUGAUGGAGACUAUUUUAAUUGAAGUGGUGUGCUCCUUCCGACUCAGAACAUGUUCAGCAUUGCACACAAACUAACAUCGUCGAUCUUGAGUAUGAAAAAGGUGAUUAGAUUCCAAGGUUGUCGUUUGUCCCAACUCCUCAUAUUAGAGGUGAUGCUCAAGCUAACGUGCCUCGCAGUUGAGCCCCGGCCAAUCGGUCUAAUAUGCUUUUCCAAUGGUGAGUUUCACUGCCACCAUGUAUUACAUUAAUUCCGAUAGCGCACAAGUUGUGUUUGUGCUAUUGCUUUUUGCCCUCACAAACAUAUACACAAGAGACAUUCAGACCAGAUCUGUUCUACCAUCCUCUAGGAAAGCAUUGUAGGUCAUUUGAAAUUGGGAUUUCAGCACCAGAGUCAAAUUGCCUUCCUUCCUGAAAGAUGAGCAUUUUUUAUACUCUUACAUCGGCUUUUAUGGAAAUGAAAUCAGCUUCUCAUUCUGUUACAUUUUUCAAUUUUGCUGCCUAUAACUGCUCACUGCCUGUUUGUGAGACAUUAUCCAGAUUUUCCCUGAUCAAUUAUAGAGAGGUCAUUGGACUCAUCCAUGAUUGGAAUUUCCUGUUAUCAUUAUUUGCAAAUCAUCAACCAUUUGUCAUGAUAUCUUAAGUUAAGCUGAGCACGAAUUUCAGCUAAGAUCCUCAGAACUAGAAAUAUGCACUGCAGGUAUUACUUGAUAUGUGAAUAUCCAAUACAAUAUUUUUUUACUAAGAGGAAUACGAAUUUGAAACACUUUCCAAUAAUUUAUCAAGUCAUAUUUUCGUGCUGUCGUGAUACAUGUGUCUACUGUAUGCAUGGCUUUUCUUUUCUACACAUGCCUUUAUCUUUGCACAUGACUCUUUUGAUACACGCCAGCAUCAAGGCAAUUGCCUAAAUCUAAAUCACAUCCUUUGUGUCACGUCUUCCUUGUUACCACGGUCCUCUUGUACACCAUGGUCCCUUAAUGUAACUUGUGCCACAAGCCCUUUGUGCAUGAAUUCAAAUUGUUCAAUCAUUUCGCCAUUUACACCUUUUAAGGUCCAAUAAGCGUAUACAAGAGACUACACUCAUUCUAGAUGAUAAAGUACAUUCAACUAACUACUCUUGCUAAUGAGCAUAUCCAAGUCAAUACAUAAGAUUAAUUAUUACAUAUGGUAAUUGAAACCCUGUUUAAAUAAAUAGUGACACAAAUAUAAAAAAUAUAUAUAUUUAAAAAUAAAUAAAUAACAAUUUAGAGAAUUUCAUAACUUAGUAUCAAACCUAUUGUAGGAAAGAGUAUUAUACAAUGUAGGGUUUAGGAUCAAAGUUAACCUAAGAUCAAUUUUAAGUUUUAAGACCAAUUCAAAUUCAAAACUAAGGUUUUAAGUUUCAAAAAUAUAUCUCUUAAACCAAUUAAAUAGAAAAAAGAAAAUUACAAAGAAAAUUUCUUCCUCAUCGGUUUCUUUUAUCUUGAAAACUAAAGGAAAUAUAUAUCAAUAUUUGAGAUGGAAAUUCAUAAUCUUAGAAACACAAAGAACAAAGAGAGUAUGAAGAGACCAUACCAUGAGAGAUUUUCCAAAAGGUUGGUAAACCAUGGUAAUCACCUUUGAGUUUUGCUGAGAAAAACAAACCUUAAUUUUUAUUUUUAUUUUUUUAUCAUUUUUUCUCUUGUGGUGUACAUUUAAGAAAAACAAAUCUUAAAAAAAAAAAAAAAAAAACCAAAUAAUGCCAGAAUUUGGGUUGAGAAACACCCAAAAGAUAGUGGCCCAAUACAUGUGCCUAAGAAAAUCUUCAUGAGCCGAUAAACAUAGUCACAAAACUAGUAACAGCCUUGUAGCCAUAGUUGGUGUAGUAUGAGCAAGUGGGGUAUGAAGUAGGUAGGUGAGUAUUGCAAUGAAAUUUCCAGCACUGCUUCCUGAAUUAAGAAAUCACAUACCCAAGUCUUAGUCGUCGUCGUCGUACCGUGUGAGAACCGGGAAGAAUCUUUGCUCGUAGAGUGGCUUUUGUAGUCUUUCUUUAACAAUUACAAGUUAUCUGAAUUCCCUUCAUCCUCCUAUAUAAUAUUGUUUUUGGUCUUGUUCUUGUUGCAUUGUGGCUAGGCAUCUCCAUGGAAGGAAGGAGGAUGAAUCAAGUUCCUUUGUAUGAAUCAAUUUCUCUGCUCUUUUUCUUUUCAAUCCGUGAAUCGAAUCAUUGCUUAGUUCUUGCUUUAAUUUCUCCAUUUUCUGUUGGGUCUUUGACUGCAGGUUUAGCUCUGCAAGAGAACUGGGAAAUUUAAUGGUGACCUCCAAUCUAAUCGACUCUGCUUUGACUAAAAUUCUUGAGCUUCAAAGAGACCAAACAGCCUUGCUUUCCUCCGUUCAAUACAGAGUUUUUUAUCCAUCUCCCAAGUGCACAAUUGUAGCUUUUGUCUCUUCACCUGACUGCACUCAAAACCCUCUUCCUGGACAAGGAGAUUUAGUUCCGUCUCCUCUCUUUGACUUCCUCUGCACCGAAGAAUACAAGUCCGUCUCCAUUAACAGAGCUGCAUUAACCCUCUUUACCUCUUUCCACGAUCAUCUCUCUGGACUAAAAACUCAGGUCAAAAUAUGAUAGUUGUUUUUAUUUUCGUUUCCUUUUUGUUAACAAUUGUGAGACAUGAAACAGCUUGACCAUGAGAUCUCUCUCAUAGAGUCAAACUACCUGAAGAAGAAGAAGACGUUACACAUAUCCAUCUGCGUUGCAUCAUCGCAUUACCCAUUGAUCGGUUGUGAUUCAACUCUUAAUAGGAAGACAGUAGAACUGGUGUUGGUAUCUGUUUUUAGAUCAGCUUAUAUGUAUCUUGUUUCUAAAAAAGGUAAGUUUAGAAGUGAGAUUAAUGGGAUUAUUCUGACAUGGAUUCCAUAUGGUUACCUGUUUUGCAGUUGACUCAGAUUGAAGGUCAAUUAAUCAUCACUGGGCACUCCCUGGGAGGAUCCGUUGCUUCUCUCUUCACCUUAUGCCUGCUAGAUGGAAAUUUAUUAAAACCCAACUGCCGCCCCUUUUGUAUCACCUUUGGUUCACCCCUCAUCGGCGGCUUUGGCCUCCAACACUCCAUAUGGAAUUCUUUCUUCCUGCAUGUAGUGUCUAACCAAGACCCAGUCCCCGGUCUCUUCCUCCCAUCUGGCAGAGGCAGAUCUACGCCCACAUCCUCCCAUUCACAAACUACCGGUUACAAGCCCUUUGGGACAUAUCUCUUGUGCUCUGAACUUGGUUGUGCUUGUUUGGAAAAGCCUGAUUUAAUUUUGGGAUUGCUGAAAGUCAGAUCAUCCGAGGUUGCCGGAGGAUUGCAGGAUGUUGAUUAUGGGGAGAUUUUAAGAAACCUCAAGGAGAGGGCAAUCUGCAAGGGACUUCAGCAGGUGGGUGAAAGGUUUGCAGAUCCUUUUACAGCUGGGAUCAUCAUGGACCUUGAGAUAAUUGGAUUUGAUCAAACAAAGGUAAACAGCUAGCUUUCUCCCAUCUAAUGAUGUUAUGAAACAUGGUUUACACUUCACCAAAUACUGCAACAACUGCCCUAUUUAGAUUUGCCGUCUUGUUCUUUGGGAUCUUCCAUAACUAGACUCAUUUUUUAAUUUCAUGGCAGCUGCUGCAGCAUAACAUUGAUAUCGAGACUGUGAUAAGCACAAUGGAAGAGGAAGCCAGAAACCCAACCAAAAAAAAUAAAGCUUUCGAUGCCAAGAUUCUGAAUCACAAAAAAAAAGACAUGGCCGGGCUAGAAUGGUAUAAGAAGAAAUCAAAAGAUCUGAACAAGGGUUACUACGACUGCUUCAAAAACCAGGGGUCAAAAAGGGACAUUAAAAUUGAACAGUAUGGGGGACACCUCACAUUAUACUGGAAAGACAUGGUUGCACAAGUACAGAGGAAGCCCCAGAAGGAAGGAGCAACAUUUCGAACCCGUUGGCUCUAUGCAGGGACGGUUUAUAGAAGAAUGGUUGAACCACUGGACAUUGCUGCCUUCUACGUAGAGGGUGGAACAGACUACAUGAAGAAUGAAAGAUCUCUUCAUUACAAGCUGUUGCAGCAAUGGUAUGAGGAAGAUGUGAAACCCCCCUCUAAGGAUAAGCUUGAUUCCAAGAAGCAAAAGGUGUCUGGUAUCCUAACUGAGGAUUCUUGCUUUUGGGCACAUGUGGAGGAGGCUAUCUUGUCAUGCGAAUUGCUUAAGAGUGAAAACUGUACUCUUGAGCAGGAAAAAUCAUCAUGGGAUAAUCUGGUUAAGUUCGAGGAGUAUGUAAUGGAACAGAUUAACAACUAUGCAGUGUCCCCUGAGAUUUUCUUGGGGGAAAGCAGCUUCAUGAAAUGGUGGGGACUGUAUGAGGGCUACAUAUAUGCUCGCAGUAAUUCCCAUAGGUCACCAUUGAUCAGCUUUAUGAAGAACGGUAGUUAUACAGAGUAUCGUUAGAGGGGUAAUCCAGUUUGUGUGUUGUGUGUAUUGUUUUGUGAGCAUUCAAUGGAUAGAACUAGAAAGAGUGUGACCUUUUUCCUUUUUUUCUUCUAGUUGCUGCCCAUAUUCUCAGCACUAUUUUCUUCCUUCUUUUCCUCAGUUUUUUCUUAAGAAAUGAAUAUUAUGAUGUUGCUGGGAUGCACUUUCAUUUUUGUUCCAUUACAUUGUGUUUUAUUCAUAUCCUAAACAAAUAAAUGUAAACAAGAAAAUCAAAUAAGACUUCAAAGAGUCUGUUCCUUUUAAAGCAAGGGAAAAAAAGGACAUGUUUGUUUACUUCCACAGCUGGGUAGAUUCAACUCCACCAAAAUUGGCAACAACUUCCCAUUGAAAAAUUCCUUCUAAGCUUGAAUGACAUAAAACUAGAUAUGUUCCAGCUAGAAUGGUACAAAAAAGAAAUCAAAAGAUGAGCACAAUGGGUUAUUAUGACAGCUUUAGAAACCAUCUUACAACACAUCCAUCAGAAUUUAGACUAUUCAUAGAAACAUUCUUAACAUGUAAAUCUACUAUUGCCAUGCACGUCAACAUAGAAUUUCUAAAAUGAUUGAAUAAAAUAAAUAAAACAAAAGAAACCCUUCCAAGAGAAUUUCAUAAUCUAAUGUCAAAUCUAUUACGAAGAUGAACAUGUAAAAUUUAAGGUUUAUAAUCAAAGUCGACUUGAAUCUGAGUUUUAAAACCAAUUUGCAGUUUUUAAGUUUGGAGACUAGAUCUCUUAAACCAAUUAAAUGUAAAAAACUAAAAAGAAAACUUCUUCAAAUUUUGAAAUGAGAAUGAGAAUGCAAUUCCUAACUAGUUUCUUCAUCAAAAAUCCCGAAAAAAAAAAAAAAAGAAGAGAGAGAGAGACCAUAGACGCCAGUGUUUGGGUUUAGAACCACCCAAGAGAGAGUAGUCCAAUAUAUGGGCUUAAGAAAAUCCUCAUGGGCCUAAGCUAAGACUAGGAACAAUCUUGUAUCCGUGGUUGGUUUAGUAUGAGCAUGUGUACUGCGAAGGAAGUAGCUGAGAAUUGCAAUGGAAUUUCCAGUACUGCUUCCUGAACGAACAAAUCGCAUACCCAAGAUUUGGUCGUCAACGCCAUGCUGGGUGAGAACCGGGGAAGCAUCUUCGCUCGUUGACGAGCUUUUGUAGUCCUUCUUUAACAAUUAUAAGGCAUCUGAAUUCCCUUCAUCCUCCCACACCAUUGUUUUUGGUCUUGUUCUUGUUGCUUUGUGACUACGCAUCUCCAUGGAAGGAAGGAGGAUGAACCAAGUUCCUUUGUAUGCAUCAAUUUUACUGUUUUUUUUUUCCUUUUUAAUCUUUGGAUCGAAUCAUUGCUUAGUUCUUGCUUAAUUUCUCCAUUUUAUGUUGGGUCUUUGAUUGCAGGUUUAGCUCUGCGCGAGAACUGGGAAAUUUAAUUGUGACCUCCAAUCUAAUCGACUCUGCUUUGACUAAAAUUCUUGAGCUUCAAAGAGACCAAACAGCCUUGCCUUCCCCCGUUCAAUACAGAGUUUUUUAUCCAUCUCCCAAGUGCACAAUUGUAGCUUUUGUCUCUUCACCUGACUGCACUCAAAACCCUCUUCCUGGACAAGGAGAUUUAGUUCCCUCUCCUCUCUUUGACUUCCUCUGCACCGAAGAAUACCCUUCCGUCUCCAUUAACGGAGCCGCAUUAACCCUCUUUACCUCUCUCUACGAUCAUCUCUCUGGACUAAUAGAUGAGGUCAAAAUCUGAUACUUGUUUUAAUUUACGUUAACUUUUCGUUAACAAUUGUGAGACACGUAUAUAUAUAUAUAUAUAUAUAUAUCUUGUGGAUAAAAGGAAAGUUUACAAGUGAGAAUAGUGGCAUUUUUCUGACAGAUUUCACACCGUUGCUUGUUUUGCACUUGACUGUGAUUGAAGGUCGAUUAAUCAUCACUGGGCACUCGAUGGGAGGAUCCGUUGCUUCUCUCUUCACCUUAUGCCUGCUAGAAGUCAUUAAUAUAUCAAAACCCAAAUGCCGCCCCAUUUGCAUCACAUUUGGUUCACCCCUCAUAGGCGACUUUGGCUUCCAACACUCCAAUUGGAAUUCUUUCUUCUUGCAUGUAGUGUCCAACCAAGAUCUAGUCCCCGGACUCUUCCUCCCAUCCGGCAGAUCUCCUCCCACAUCCUCCCAUUCACAAACUACUGGUUACAAGCCCUUUGGGACAUAUCUCUUGUGCUCUGAACUUGGUUGUGCUUGUUUUGACAACCCUGAUUUAAUUUUGGAAUUGCUGAAAGUCAUAUCAUCAGAGGUUGCCGGAGGAUUGCGGGAUGUUGAUUACAGGAAGAUUUUAAUAAACCUCAAGGAGAGGGCAAUCUUCAAGGGACUUCAGCAGGUGGGUGAAAGGUUUGCAGAUCCCUUGUCAGCUGGGAUCAUCAUGGACCUUGAGAUAAUUGGAUUUGAUCAAACAAAGGUAAACAGCUUUCUCCCAAUUAAUGAUGUAGCAUGGUUUACACUCAACUUCACCAAAACCUGCAACAACUGCCCUAUUUAGAUUUGCCUUCCGGUUCUUUGGGUUCUUCUAUAACUUCUCAUUUUUUAAAUCCAUGGCAGCUGUUGCGGCACAACAUUGAUAUCAACACUGUGAUAAGGAUACUGGGAGCGGAAGCCAGAAUCCUAGCCCACAAAAAUAAAGCUUCUGAUGCCAAGAAACUGAAUGACAUAAAAAUACACAUGGCCCAGCUAGAAUGGUAUAAGAAGAAAUCAAAAGAUCUGAACAAGGGUUACUACGACUGCUUCAAAAACCAGGGGUUAAAAAGGGACAUUAAAAUUGAACAGUAUAGGGGACACCUCACAAUAUACUGGAAAGACAUGGUUGCACAAGUACAGAGGAAGCCCCAGAAGGAAGGAGCAUCAUUUCGAACCAGUUGGCUCUAUCCAGGGACAACUUAUAGAAGAAUGGUUGAACCACUGGACAUUGCUGCCUUCUACAGAGAGGGUAGAACAGACUACAUAAACAAUGGAAGAUCUCCUCAUUACAAGCUGUUGCAGCAAUGGUAUGAGGAAGAUGUGAAGCCCCCAUCCAGAGAUAAGCUCGAUUCCAAGAAACUAAAGGUGUCUGGUAUCCUAACUGAGGAUUCUUUGUUUUGGGCACAUGUGGAGGAGGCUCUCUUGUCAUGCGAAUCGCUCAAGAGUGCAAACUCUACUCUUGAGCAGAGAAAAUCAUCAUGGGAUAAUCUGGUUAAGUUUGGGGAGUAUGUAAUGGAACAGAUUGGAAACUAUGCAGUGUCCCCUGAGAUUUUCUUGGGGGAAAGCAGCUUCAUGAAAUGGUGGGGAGUGUAUGAGGACUACAUAGAUGCUUCCAAUAAUUUCUAUGGGUCACCAUUGAUCAACUUUAUGAAGGACCGUAGUUAUAGACUGUAUGGUUAGAGGGCAAUCCAGUUUGUGUAUUGUGUUUAUUGUAUUGUGAGCAUUCAAUAGAUAAAACUAGAAAGAGCGUGACCUUUUUAUGACAACUUUAGAAACCAGGGGUUAAAAGAGACAUUACAAAUUGAAUUUUUUGAGAGGAAACCUCAAGAGUAUACUGGGAAGCCAUGGUGGAACAAGUAGAGAGGAAGCUUCGGAAGGAAGGAUCAAUGGUUGAACCACUUGACAUUGUUGCCUACUUCAGGGAGGGUGUAAGAAACAACAUAACCGAGGGAAGAUCUGAACAUUAAACAUUGUACAAUUAUUGUAAAUGUCUUAUACAUUACGUGUGAAAAUACCAAAAAAAAUUAUAUUCAACAUUUAUGUUUGUAUACAAGCAAUAUUUUGGAUAGUUUGAUAUAAAAAACAAAUGAAGAAAACGAAGAAAAACAUACAAAUAUAUUUACAAUGGACAAACUUAUACAAUUAGUGUAAAUGUCUUGUAUAUUUAGUACAAAAGUCUCGUACUUUGUAAAAAUAUAAAAAUAUAGUAUUUGACUUUUAUAUAUGUGUGAAAAUGUAAAAGGAAAAAGAAAAAUAGUUAGAGCAUUUGGUACCGUGAGUGAUGACUUCACCUAAAGAAAGGUUAAUGAAUAUUAUGGUCUCGAUGGAAGAGCGACUCCGGUAAAAUAUAUGGAUUAAAUUGAUGCUUUUCUUUUGACGAUGAAGUAGUUGAGUUAUGAAUACGAGGUUUUGCUAACAACAUUGAAGGCAAGGAUUCCCUAAUAUACUCCAAUUCAUAUUCAAUUUGUAGACCUUCAACUAACUACUCUUGCUAAUGAGCAUAUCCAAGUGAAUACAUAAGAUUAAUUAUUACAUAUGAUAAUUGAAACCCUGUUUAAAUAAAUAGUGACACAAAUAUAAAAAAUAUAUAUAUUUAAAAAUAAAUAAAUAAUAAUUUAGAGAAUUUCAUAACUUAGCAUCAAACCUAUUGUAGGAAAGAGUAUUAUACAAUGUAGGGUUUAGGAUCAAAGUUAACCUAAGAUCAAAUUUAAGUCUUAAGACCAAUUCACAUUCAAAACUAAGGUUUUAAAUUUCAAAAAUAUAUCUCUUAAACCAAUUAAAUGGAAAAAAGAAAAUUACAAAGAAAAUUUCUUCCUCAUCGGUUUCUUUUAUCUUGAAAACUAAAGGAAAUAUAUAUCAAUAUUUGAGAUGGAAAUUCAUAAUCUUAGAAACACAAAGAACAAAGAGAGUAUGAAGAGACCAUACCAUGAGAGAUUUUCCAAAAGGUUGGUAAACCAUGGUAAUCACCUUUGAGUUUUGCUGAGAAAAACAAACCUUAAUUUUUAUUUUUAUUUUUUUAUCAUUUUUUCUCUUGUGGUGUACAUUUAAGAAAAACAAAUCUUAAAAAAAAAAAAAAAAAAACCAAAUAAUGCCAGAAUUUGGGUUGAGAAACACCCAAAAGAUAGUGGCCCAAUACAUGUGCCUAAGAAAAUCUUCAUGAGCCGAUAAACAUAGUCACAAAACUAGGAACAGCCUUGUAGCCAUAGUUGGUGUAGUAUGAGCAAGUGGGGUAUGAAGUAGGUAGGUGAGUAUUGCAAUGAAAUUUCCAGCACUGCUUCCUGAAUUAAGAAAUCACAUACUCAAGUCUUAAUCGUUGUCAUCAUACCGUGUGAGAACCGAGGAAGAAUCUUUGCUCUUAGACUGGAUUUUGUAGUCUUUCUUUAACAAUUACAAGUUAUCUGAAUUCCCUUCAUCCUCCUAUAUAAUAUUGUUUUUGGUCUUGUUCUUGUUGCAUUGUGGCUAGGCAUCUCCAUGGGAGGAAGGAGGAUGAAUCAAGUUCCUUUGUAUGAAUCAAUUUCUCUGCUCUUUUUUUUUUCAAUCCUUGAAUCGAAUCAUUGCUUAGUUCUUGCUUUAAUUUCUCCAUUUUCUGUUGGGUCUUUGAUUGCAGGUUUAGCUCUGCAAGAAAACUGGGAAAUUUAAUUGUGACCUCCAAUCUAAUCGACUCUGCUUUGACUAAAAUUCUUGAGCUUCAAAGAGACCAAACAGCCUUGCCUUCCCCCGUUCAAUACAGAGUUUUUUAUCCAUCUCCCAAGUGCACAAUUGUAGCUUUUGUCUCUUCACCUGACUGCACUCAAAACCCUCUUCCUGGACAAGGAGAUUUAGUUCCCUCUCCUCUCUUUGACUUCCUCUGCACCGAAGAAUACAAGUCCGUCUCCAUUAACAGAGCUGCAUUAACCCUCUUUACCUCUCUCCACGAUCAUCUCUCUGGACUAAAAACUCAGGUCAAAAUAUGAUAGUUGUUUUUAUUUUCGUUUCCUUUUUGUUAACAAUUGUGAGACAUGAAACAGCUUGACCAUGAGAUCUCUCUCAUAGAGUCAAACUACCUGAAGAAGAAGAAGACGUUACACAUAUCCAUCUGCGCUGCAUCAUCGCAUUACCCAUUGAUCGGUUGUGAUUCAACUCUUAAUAGGAAGACAGUAGAACUGGUGUUGGUAUCUGUUUUUAGAUCAGCUUAUAUGUAUCUUGUUGCUAAAAAGGGAAAGUUUAGAAGUGAGAUUAAUGGGAUUAUUCUGACAUGGAUUUCAUAUGGUUAC